ACUUUUCAGAGUACAGUCUGGCUUAACAGACCGAUGGCUGGUGACUUUUUGGUCACCAGCCU
RNAcentral lists this small RNA (62 nucleotides) under Serratia symbiotica str. Tucson. RNAcentral's name for it is "Pseudomonas sRNA P26". It matches the Rfam family "Pseudomonas sRNA P26". Rfam says of the family: P26 is conserved across many Gammaproteobacteria species and appears to be consistently located between the DNA directed RNA polymerase (beta subunit) and 50S ribosomal protein L7/L12 genes. Lineage: Bacteria; Pseudomonadati; Pseudomonadota; Gammaproteobacteria; Enterobacterales; Yersiniaceae. The record is from Rfam by way of RNAcentral.